AUAGGGAAAAGACAAGCCUAGCAAGGCAAAAAACAGUCACAUGAAAACAAGGAUUUCGCAGUGAACGAACAAGUAAUGGGCUUCAGGAAACCGGAGAAGAAAUGGUAUAAUGCAACAGUCUUAGAAAAAAACUAAAUCAGGUUACAAAGACGUAUUUGCAGAUGACAACUUAGUAAGAGUGUUAAGUCUACAAAAUCUACGAAAAAAGACAUCGAGAUGAAUUCAGCUAAAGGCGUUUUGUUUAUAUAUGAACUUACAAGAAACUCACAAGUCAUCUGAUGAUAUUCUCAAAACAGGAUAUGAUAAACAAUAUCAACAACAAAACGAAGCUGUAUUUCCUUGUUCUUGAACAAAAGACAUUUAGCAUCAGUCAAAUGAUCCUAUAAAUUUA
Molecule: long non-coding RNA, 391 nt
Organism: Mytilus trossulus (common blue mussel)
Lineage: Eukaryota; Metazoa; Mollusca; Bivalvia; Mytilida; Mytilidae
Exons: 3
Source: RefSeq, a predicted model, not a curated record